Molecule: ribosomal RNA, 704 nt
Filed under: uncultured bacterium
Lineage: Bacteria
Description: bacterial SSU rRNA
Rfam family: Bacterial small subunit ribosomal RNA
Source: RNAcentral
CAGUCGACGGAGCCGGGAGCAAUCCUGGUGGCGAGUGGCGAACGGGUGAGUAAUAUAUCGGAACGUGCCCAGUCGUGGGGGAUAACGUAGCGAAAGCUACGCUAAUACCGCAUACGAUCUAUGGAUGAAAGCGGGGGAUCGCAAGACCUCGCGCGAUUGGAGCGGCCGAUAUCAGAUUAGGUAGUUGGUGGGGUAAAAGCUCACCAAGCCUUCGAUCUGUAGCUGGUCUGAGAGGACGACCAGCCACACUGGAACUGAGACACGGUCCAGACUCCUACGGGAGGCAGCAGUGGGGAAUUUUGGACAAUGGGCGCAAGCCUGAUCCAGCAAUGCCGCGUGCAGGAUGAAGGCCUUCGGGUUGUAAACUGCUUUUGUACGGAACGAAACGGUCCUUUCUAAUACAAGGGGCUAAUGACGGUACCGUAAGAAUAAGCACCGGCUAACUACGUGCCAGCAGCCGCGGUAAUACGUAGGGUGCGAGCGUUAAUCGGAAUUACUGGGCGUAAAGCGUGCGCAGGCGGUUAUGUAAGACAGAUGUGAAAUCCCCGGGCUCAACCUGGGACCUGCAUUUGUGACUGCAUAGCUAGAGUACGGUAGAGGGGGAUGGAAUUCCGCGUGUAGCAGUGAAAUGCGUAGAUAUGCGGAGGAACACCGAUGGCGAAGGCAAUCCCCUGGACCUGUACUGACGCUCAUGCACGAAAGCG